This 497-nucleotide ribosomal RNA is filed under the name uncultured bacterium. RNAcentral describes it as "partial 16S ribosomal RNA". It matches the Rfam family "Bacterial small subunit ribosomal RNA", at positions 28 to 507 of the family's 1533-position model. The record is from RNAcentral.
GAUGAACGCUGGCGGCGUGCCUAAUACAUGCAUGUCGAGCGAACGGACGAGAAGCUUGCUUCUCUGAUGUUAGCGGCGGACGGGUGAGUAACACGUGGAUAACCUACCUAUAAGACUGGGAUAACUUCGGGAAACCGGAGCUAAUACCGGAUGAUAUUUUGAACCGCAUGGUUCAAAAGUGAAAGACGGUCUUGCUGUCACUUAUAGAUGGAUCCGCGCUGCAUUAGCUAGUUGGUAAGGUAACGGCUUACCAAGGCAACGAUGCAUAGCCGACCUGAGAGGGUGAUCGGCCACACUGGAACUGAGACACGGUCCAGACUCCUACGGGAGGCAGCAGUAGGGAAUCUUCCGCAAAGGGCGAAAGCCUGACGGAGCAACGCCGCGUGAGUGAUGAAGGUCUUCGGAUCGUAAAACUCUGUUAUUAGGGAAGAACAUAUGUGUAAGUAACUGUGCACAUCUUGACGGUACCUAAUCAGAAAGCCACGGCUAACUACGUG